AUACGUAGGGGGCAAGCGUUAUCCGGAAUCACUGGGCGUAAAGGGUGCGUAGGUGGCUUAUCAAGCCAGGGGUGAAAGGCAUUGGCUCAACCAAUGUAAGCCUUUGGAACUGAUAGGCUUGAGUGCAGGAGAGGUAAGUGGAAUUCCUAGUGUAGAGGUGAAAUUCGUAGAUAUUAGGAGGAACACCAGUGGCGAAGGCGACUUACCAAGUUAUUACUGACGCUCAGGCAACGAAAGCGGUGGGGAG
This 247-nucleotide ribosomal RNA is filed under the name uncultured bacterium. Its description in RNAcentral is "partial 16S ribosomal RNA". It matches the Rfam family "Bacterial small subunit ribosomal RNA", at positions 523 to 768 of the family's 1533-position model. The record is from RNAcentral.